Non-coding RNA from Sorex fumeus (smoky shrew), 127 nucleotides. RefSeq annotates it as small Cajal body-specific RNA 15. NCBI's taxonomy places the organism in Eukaryota, Metazoa, Chordata, Mammalia, Eulipotyphla, Soricidae. The transcript has a single exon. The record is from RefSeq and is a predicted model, not a curated record.
CUGGAGGUGGAGCAAAUGGAGUCCUUGAAGUCAAGCCGACUCUGCUCCGGACCUCCGAAAUGGAAAAGGUAGAUAGAACAGGUCUUGUGGCACAGUCAACGCAAGGCCUGCUUCUCUACCAACACAG